UGGGGAAUUUUGGACAAUGGGCGCAAGCCUGAUCCAGCCAUGCCGCGUGCAGGAUGAAGGCCUUCGGGUUGUAAACUGCUUUUGUACGGAACGAAAAGGUGCCUUCUAAUAAAGGGCGCUCAUGACGGUACCGUGAGAAUAAGCACCGGCUAACUACGUGCCAGCAGCCGCGGUAAUACGUAGGGUGCGAGCGUUAAUCGGAAUUACUGGGCGUAAAGCGUGCGCAGGCGGUUUUGUAAGACAGAGGUGAAAUCCCCGGGCUCAACCUGGGAACUGCCUUUGUGACUGCAAGGCUAGAUUGCGGCAGAGGGGGAUGGAACUCCGCGUGUAGCAGUGAAAUGCGUAGAUAAGCGGAGGAACACCGAUGGCGAAGGCAAUCCCCUGGGCCUGCACUGACGCUCAUGCACGAAAGCGUGGGGAGCAAA
This 425-nucleotide ribosomal RNA is filed under the name uncultured bacterium. RNAcentral's name for it is "bacterial SSU rRNA". It matches the Rfam family "Bacterial small subunit ribosomal RNA", at positions 355 to 772 of the family's 1533-position model. The record is from RNAcentral.